ACAAGUUACACCUCUUUUAGAAUUUGUCUAGCAGGUUUGCAGUUUUCACUGGAAGUGGAA
Molecule: small nuclear RNA, 60 nt
Filed under: Carlito syrichta (Philippine tarsier)
Lineage: Eukaryota; Metazoa; Chordata; Mammalia; Primates; Tarsiidae
Description: U7 small nuclear RNA (ENSTSYG00000024968.2)
Rfam family: U7 small nuclear RNA
About the family: Animal histone pre-mRNAs are spliced by a different mechanism than nuclear pre-mRNAs and self-splicing introns. This processing involves the U7 snRNP, which contains only one RNA species: U7.
Source: Rfam by way of RNAcentral